RNAcentral lists this non-coding RNA (150 nucleotides) under Mangrovibacter sp. MFB070. RNAcentral's name for it is "FMN riboswitch aptamer (RFN element)". It matches the Rfam family "FMN riboswitch aptamer (RFN element)". From Rfam's summary of the family: The RFN element is a highly conserved domain that is found frequently in the 5'-untranslated regions of prokaryotic mRNAs that encode for flavin mononucleotide (FMN) biosynthesis and transport proteins. This element is a metabolite-dependent riboswitch that directly binds FMN in the absence of proteins. The record is from Rfam by way of RNAcentral. Lineage: Bacteria; Pseudomonadati; Pseudomonadota; Gammaproteobacteria; Enterobacterales; Enterobacteriaceae. RNAcentral also lists the same sequence under 1 other name.
GUUUAUUCUCAGGGCGGGGCGAAAUUCCCCACCGGCGGUAAAUCAGCUCUUUGCUGAAAGCCCGCGAGCGCUCCGCUGUCAUGGCGGAGGUCAGCAGACUCGGUGUAAUUCCGGGGCCGACGGUUAGAGUCCGGAUGGGAGAGGAUAGCG